CUUAACACUCCCAGGCACUACCAAAGUUGAUUUCCAGCUUUCCUACUCAAGGGAAAAAAAAGCAGUUACAUCAUUACCAUCUAUUCUUAAAUAUUGCAGUUAUGUAUCCUUCAGUCCACAAAAUAUACCAUAUGUUUUUGGUCACGUUCUAGAAGUACAAAUUUUAAGAGUUUAAGGCUUCCAUUUUCAAAACAAAGACUGAAAAAGAAAAGAAGGAAUGCCUGAGGUGCUGCUUUAAUUCUGAAAACCUACAGAAGAAUGAAGCUUUUACAAUGACAGGCUAUGUAACUAUGCUUUUACAAGUAACAGGAUCUAGAGGUGUGCUUUUCAUCGUAUAUAUUGCAUUCUACACAUGAACAUGAAGACAUUUGCUGAAAAAGAGUAAUUUACUAGAAAAAAGACCAUGAGAGCUCCAAGGAAUUAAUGUGAAGGUAUGACAGCAUAAAUAGCAAAAACUACUUUCUGAACUUACGUACUCUUUAAUGACAAGUUGGACUAUGUGCUUUCUGUAUAGGGCAGAACUUCAAGGAUUUUUCAAAGCAGGAUUAAUUUCAGCAUGCAACAAAGGACUCAUAAGUAAAGGAGGUUACAUGACUCAGAAAAUGUCACAUUGCUGCUUAGUAGCAAAGACAGAAGUAAAAUCCAGCUCUUCAAAACUUCAAGCUCCUUGUCAAAAUAAUCAUUUAUCCCCCACUAAGAGGAAAAGAAUAAGAAUAGAAAAAAAGGAAGAAUAAAAUAAACAAACAAAAAAAUCAAGCAUUAAAAAUCUAGGCAGUAACAAAAGCCUUGACUGAAGACACGACUUCAUUCAGCACUUUUGAUUUACAACACAAAAUUUGUCCCAUAUCUGUAAAUAAAGACAUGUAUU
RNAcentral lists this long non-coding RNA (868 nucleotides) under Gallus gallus (chicken). Its description in RNAcentral is "long non-coding RNA NONGGAT006668". Lineage: Eukaryota; Metazoa; Chordata; Aves; Galliformes; Phasianidae. The record is from RNAcentral.